RNAcentral lists this long non-coding RNA (1105 nucleotides) under Ornithorhynchus anatinus (platypus). Its description in RNAcentral is "lncRNA (ENSOANG00000045260.1)". Lineage: Eukaryota; Metazoa; Chordata; Mammalia; Monotremata; Ornithorhynchidae. The record is from RNAcentral.
GGGACUAUAUAUACUUUGAUCUCUACUCUCCUGUCUUCAGCCUGGUGUGUGCCUUCUCUUUUUCCUGCAUGGAACUUCCACGCUCAAAUUUUCCAAACCACAUUCCUCCUUACCUUCAACAACCUCCUAUAAAGCCCUUCUCCAAGAUGCGUUCUCCUGUACAGUGCAUAAUAGGUGAUGUCUAUUCUCCCAGUCUUCAAGAGUCUUCUUCCCUCCCCUGUAACACUGGCCAGUAGAAGAGGAUGAAGACGUGAUCACACAACUGAGCAGAAGAAACUUCAAACCAGGGAUUUUAAAAUGCUCUUGGACCAGUAAAGGCUUUAAACCUUCUUCAGCGAAAACAUUUAAUGACAGCUCCUUUGGGAACGCAGCAACUGUUUUCUUCUUUUUGCCUCUUUUUCCACCCUUCAAACUCCCCCAAGAAUGUUAAUUUUUUUAUAGUAUUUGUUAAGUGCUUAUUAUGUGUCAAGCAUUGUUCUGAGCUGGGGUAGAUACAAGUUAAUCAGGCUGUAAGCAGUCCCUGUCCCACAAGGGACUCACAGUCUAAGUAGGAGGGAGAACAGGUAUUUAAUCCCCAUUUUGCAGUGAGGAAAAUGAGUCAAAGAGAAGGGAAGUGACUUGCUCAAGGUCACACAGGAGGCAGGUGGUGGAUCCAGGAUUAGAAUCCAGGUCCUCUGGCUCCCAGACCUGUGCUCCAUCCACUAGGCAACACUGCUUAAUUAUACUCAAGGUUCAUCUCUGCCCAGUUCUACUUGUUUUAGCAAGAAACAUAGGGCCCAAUUAUUUUUCUAGAAGCAUGAGGGGCCCUCAAUAAUGCCAUAUGAAAGACCCCCUGGCUCUCUCCAUGGAUGUUGCUCCUGCUACCCCUGUCAGCCAUCUUGCAAUAUGUUGGCACUCUUAGGGGCUCGUUGAGAGAAUGGAGAUGAUUCAGUGCAACCCAUCACCCCAACUGCAAAAGCAAAUCAGGUAGUUAUUUUGCUGGUGGUGGGUCAUUCCUUCUUUAUCCUCUCCACUCAUUUUAAAGUAAAGGAAAUGUGUCUGUUAUAUUGUUGUAUUGUACUCACUCGGGCACUUAGUACACUGCUCUGCACACUUUAAGUGCUCA